This 2968-nucleotide long non-coding RNA is filed under the name Homo sapiens (human). Its description in RNAcentral is "HSALNT0320295". Lineage: Eukaryota; Metazoa; Chordata; Mammalia; Primates; Hominidae. The record is from RNAcentral.
AGUGAAGUUAAGGAUGUCAGGGAACUCUAAAGCCAGGUUGGUACAUUAUUAAAAGCCAUGGGCCCUGACAUCACACAUGAUGAUUAUAAUGUGAAGAGACGAGACUGAGACUAUAAAGAAAGACCAGGAGUGAGCUAACUUGAAUGAUACCAAGGAAGAUGAUAUAAUAUGAAGUAUAUCCUCAUCUGGUAAAGACAGACAGAACUCUGAAGUGGAAAGAGCACUUGUCAAGAUAUCAGGAGAUGACGGCUUUGUGAGUUCUGUCACUAACCAGUGUAUGUUCUUGACCAAAUAAUUUUACCUCUCUCAACCUUGGUUGCUCCAUCCACCAAACGAUAGCGAUCUGAAUUCGUCAGCUUCUUUUCUAUUAUGACACUUGAUUACUUCAUCACCAGAAGCUGAGCUCCCAGCUUGAGUAUGCAACAUGUCUGGACAUGUUUGGCUAAUUACUGUGGCAGCCAGCCUGCUGGCCAUUGCAGAAUGACCCAGAUGCUUCCUGAGAGAACUCAGGUUUAAGGAAGAGAAAACCAAACUCCAGGAGUCUGACAGCAACAAAGCCUUAGUUGACAGAAAGGUAGUUAUUUUGGAUGCAUAAGUGUUUAUUAUUCUUAUUUGCCUCCUAACUCCAUGUCUAAGUUCAAGAAAAAGCAAAUUAAUUAAUAAAAACCAAAAGACUGGGUUUGCUAAACAACUUUUAAAAAUAUAGGGUCAAAACUGUUUUGUACAUAAUGAAAGAAAUUAUAGAUGACACAAACAGAAAAACAUUUCAUGCUUAUGAAUCAGAAUUAACAGUGUAAAAAUGGCCAUUGUGCCCAAAGCAAUCUAAAUAUUCAGUGCAUUAUCAUUAUCAAAAUGCCAAUGUUGUUUUUCACAGAAUUAGAAAAAAACAUCCUAAAAUUUAUAUGGAACCAAAGAAGAGCCCAAAUACAAAAAGAACAAAGCUGGAAGCAUCACAUUACCUGAAUUGAAAUUAUAUUAUAAGACUGUAGUAACCAAAACAGCAUGGUACUGUUAUAAAAAUAGACACAUAAAUCAAUAGAACAGAAUAGAGAACCCAAAAAUAAAGGCACAUAUUUAUAGCCAACUGAUCUUUGAUAAAGUCAACAAGAAGACACAUUAGGGAAAGGACACUCUUUUCAAUAAAUGGUGCUGGGAAAAUUGGAUAGCCACAUGCAAAAGAAUUAAACUGGACUCCUAUCUCUUACAAUAUACAAAAAUCAACUCAAGAUGAAUUAACAACUAAAACAUAAAACCCCAAACUAUAAAAAUACUAGAAGAAAACCUAGUGAAAACUCUCCUGGACAUUGAUCUAGUCAAAGAACUUGUAACCAAGACCUCAAAAACACACACAACAGCAGCAAAAAUAGACAAAUGAGACAAAUUAAAAUGUUUCUGUGUGACAAAAAAUAAUAAUAACGAUCAAUAGACUGAACUGAUAACCUUCAGAAUAAGAGAAAAUAUUUACAAACUAUUCAUCUGAUGAAGGAUUAAUAUACAGAAUAUAUAAGGAACUCAAACAACUCCAAAAAAUCACCCCACAAAUAAUCCUAUUAAAAAGUGGGCAAAGAGGCCAAGCAUAAUGGUUCAUGCCCGCAAUCCCAGCACUUCAGAAGGCUGAGGUGGGAGGACUGCUUAAGCCCAGGAGUGUGAGACCAUCCUGGGCAACACAGCAAGACCACCCACCUUCCCCCCAUCUCUGCAAAAAAUAAAAAACUAAGCGGGCAUGGUGGUGCACACUAUAGUCCCAGCUAUUCAGGAGGCUGAGGUUGGAGGAUCAUUUGAGCCUGGGAAGUUGAGGCUGCAGUGAGCCAUGAUUGUGUCACUGUACUCCUGUACUCCAGCCUGGGCAACAGAGUGAGACCCUGUCUCAAAAACAAACAAACAAACAAAAAAGGUGAGCAAAGAAUGUGAAUAGAAAUUUUUUAAAAGAAGACAUACAAAUGGCCAACAGGUAUACGAAAAAACGCUCAACAUCACUAAUCAUCACAGAAAUGCAAAUUAAGUCAGAAUGGCUAUUAAUAAAAAGUCAAGAAAUAAGAAUCACUGAUGAGGAUGCAGAGAAAAGGGAAUUCCUAUACACUGUUGUUAGGAAUGUAAAUUAGUGCAACCUGUAUGGGAAACAGUAUGGAGACUUCUCAAAGAGCUAAAAAUAGAACUACCAUUUGAUCUACCAAUCUCACUACUGGGUAUCUACCCAAAAGAAAAGAAAUCAGUAUAACAAAAAGAUUCUUGUACUCACAUUUAUCACAGCACUAUUCACAACAGCAGUCAUGGAAUCAACAUAAGUAUCCAUCAACAUAUAAUUGGAUAAAGAAAAUAUGGUGUGUAUACAUAAUGGAAUACUAUUUGGCCAUAUAAAGAAUAAAAUUGUGUUUUUUGUAGCAACAUGGAUGGAACUGAAAGUCAUUAUUUUAAGGGAAACAAGUUAUACAGAGAAAGUCAAAUAUCACAUGUUCUCAUAAGUGGGAGAUAAAAAAAUGUAUACACAUAGACAGAGAGAGUAGAAAGAUAGACAACAGAGACUUGAAAAGAUGAGGGAAUACCAGGAGGAUGGAUGAGGAGAAAUUACCUAAUGAGUACAAUGUACAUUAUUUAGGUGAAAGAUACCUGAAAAGCCCUGACUUGACCAUUGUACAAUCUAUGCAUGUAACACAAUUUAAUUUGUACCCAUAAAUCUAGAUUUUUUUUAAAAAAAAAACAGUAUUUUGUGAUCCUUCUAACAAACUCUGAUGCAAAAGGAGAGAGGGCAUUUCUUCACUUUGCCUCAGUCAUAGCAGAAUCCUGGCAUCAAAAGGCCUCCUAUGUUUUUGCAUUGGUCAUUGAUGGAGGCCCAAAAUUACACACAAAGAAGUUGGGAUGCCCACAGAGCAAUAGUUGUACCAAGUAAGACAAGGCAAUAUCCAGUAAACGGCCACCAGAAUUUGGCAGUAUGUGGUCUCAGCACAGUAGUUUUGAUGAGAUAUCUCUG